UUGUAAUUGGAAUGAUGGGAAUUUAAACCUCUUCCAGAGUAUCAAUUGGAGGGCAAGUCUGGUGCCAGCAGCCGCGGUAAUUCCAGCUCCAAUAGCGUAUAUUAAAAUUGUUGCAGUUAAAAAGCUCGUAGUUGAAUUUCUGCUGCAUUGCUUUUGCUCCUUUACGAGUCUUUGCAUUGUGGCUUAUUUCGGACUUUGUUUUACAAUGUCCGGAUGUUUACUUUGAGAAAAUUAGAGUGCUCAAAGCAGGCUUUCGCCUUGAAUAGUUUAGCAUGGAAUAAUAAAGUAGGACUUUGGUUCUAUUUUGUUGGUUUUAGGUACCAAAGUAAUGGUUAAUAGGAACAGUUGGGGGCAUUCGUAUUUAACUGUCAGAGGUGAAAUUCUUAGAUUUGUUAAAGACGAACUACUGCGAAAGCAUUUGCCAAGGAUGUUUUCAUUAAUCAAGAACGAAAGUUAGGGGAUCGAAGACGAUCAGAUACCGUCGUAGUCCUAACCAUAAACUA
This 503-nucleotide ribosomal RNA is filed under the name Theileria ovis. Its description in RNAcentral is "SSU rRNA". It matches the Rfam family "Eukaryotic small subunit ribosomal RNA", at positions 503 to 1039 of the family's 1831-position model. Lineage: Eukaryota; Apicomplexa; Aconoidasida; Piroplasmida; Theileriidae. The record is from RNAcentral.